CGGACGGGUGAGUAACGCGUGAGUAACCUGCCUUUCAGAGGGGGACAACAGUUGGAAACGACUGCUAAUACCGCAUAACAUAUUUGGAUCGCAUGGUCUGAAUAUCAAAGAUUUAUCGCUGAAAGAUGGACUCGCGUCUGAUUAGGUAGUUGGCGGGGUAACGGCCCACCAAGCCGACGAUCAGUAGCCGGACUGAGAGGUUGAACGGCCACAUUGGGACUGAGAUACGGCCCAGACUCCUACGGAAGGCAGCAG
This 255-nucleotide ribosomal RNA is filed under the name uncultured bacterium. Its description in RNAcentral is "partial 16S ribosomal RNA". It matches the Rfam family "Bacterial small subunit ribosomal RNA", at positions 99 to 354 of the family's 1533-position model. The record is from RNAcentral.